CUUGCAACUUGCACUAUCAGUAACGACACAGCAGAUUGGUAUACUGAUAUAGGAGCAUCUGCACACAUGACUCCUGAUGUGUCUCAGCUUGAUAAAAUGGAACCUUACAUUGAAUCUUCAAACUCAAAAGGUGGUGGCAAGCGGUGAUCGUGCAGAUGGACUUUUUGUACUGAAGCGUGGACACCAUGUUUUCUCUACUAUCAUUAACAAGCAUAAUUUAUGCAAUUCCUUUGACAUUUGGCAUGUCUGUUUAGGCCAUGUAUCCUCUCAAAUAAUUUCUAUGCUUAAUAAGAAAAGGUUUUUUUUAAUCUCUUA
Populus euphratica (Euphrates poplar) is the source of this 315-nucleotide long non-coding RNA. RefSeq lists it as uncharacterized. Lineage: Eukaryota; Viridiplantae; Streptophyta; Magnoliopsida; Malpighiales; Salicaceae. The transcript has 2 exons. The record is from RefSeq and is a predicted model, not a curated record.